Molecule: ribosomal RNA, 478 nt
Filed under: uncultured bacterium
Lineage: Bacteria
Description: partial 16S ribosomal RNA
Rfam family: Bacterial small subunit ribosomal RNA
Source: RNAcentral
GAUGAACGCUGGCGGCGUGCUUAACACAUGCAAGUCGAACGGGAAUUAUUUUAUUGAAACUUCGGUCGAUUUAAUUUAAUUCUAGUGGCGGACGGGUGAGUAACGCGUGGGUAACCUGCCUUAUACAGGGGGAUAACAGUCAGAAAUGGCUACUAAUACCGCAUAAGCGCACAGAGCUGCAUGGCUCAGUGUGAAAAACUCCGGUGGUAUAAGAUGGACCCGCGUUGGAUUAGCUUGUUGGCAGGGUAACGGCCUACCAAGGCGACGAUCCAUAGCCGGCCUGAGAGGGUGAACGGCCACAUUGGGACUGAGACACGGCCCAGACUCCUACGGGAGGCAGCAGUGGGGAAUAUUGCACAAUGGGGGAAACCCUGAUGCAGCGACGCCGCGUGAAGGAAGAAGUAUCUCGGUAUGUAAACUUCUAUCAGCAGGGAAGAUAGUGACGGUACCUGACUAAGAAGCCCCGGCUAACUACGUG